AUUGAACGCUGGCGGCAGGCCUAACACAUGCAAGUUCGAGCGGUAACAGGGGAAGCUUGCUUCUCGCUGACGAGCGGCGGACGGGUGAGUAAUGUAUGGGGAUCUGCCCGAUAGAGGGGGAUAACCACUGGAAACGGUGGCUAAUACCGCAUAAUCUCUUAGGAGCAAAGCAGGGGAACUUCGGUCCUUGCGCUAUCGGAUGAACCCAUAUGGGAUUAGCUAGUAGGUGGGGUAAUGGCUCACCUAGGCGACGAUCCCUAGCUGGUCUGAGAGGAUGAUCAGCCACACUGGGACUGAGACACGGCCCAGACUCCUACGGGAGGCAGCAGUGGGGAAUAUUGC
RNAcentral lists this ribosomal RNA (342 nucleotides) under uncultured bacterium. Its description in RNAcentral is "bacterial SSU rRNA". It matches the Rfam family "Bacterial small subunit ribosomal RNA", at positions 30 to 367 of the family's 1533-position model. The record is from RNAcentral.